This 497-nucleotide ribosomal RNA is filed under the name uncultured bacterium. RNAcentral's name for it is "partial 16S ribosomal RNA". It matches the Rfam family "Bacterial small subunit ribosomal RNA", at positions 28 to 507 of the family's 1533-position model. The record is from RNAcentral.
GAUGAACGCUGGCGGCGUGCCUAAUACAUGCAAGUCGAGCGAACAGACGAGGAGCUUGCUCCUCUGACGUUAGCGGCGGACGGGUGAGUAACACGUGGAUAACCUACCUAUAAGACUGGGAUAACUUCGGGAAACCGGAGCUAAUACCGGAAUAUAUAUUGAACCGCAUGGUUCAAUAGUGAAAGACGGUUUUGCUGUCACUUAUAGAUGGAUCCGCGCCGCAUUAGCUAGUUGGUAAGGUAACGGCUUACCAAGGCAACGAUGCGUAGCCGACCUGAGAGGGUGAUCGGCCACACUGGAACUGAGACACGGUCCAGACUCCUACGGGAGGCAGCAGUAGGGAAUCUUCCGCAAUGGGCGAAAGCCUGACGGAGCAACGCCGCGUGAGUGAUGAAGGUCUUCGGAUCGUAAAACUCUGUUAUUAGGGAAGAACAAAUGUGUAAGUAACUAUGCACGUCUUGACGGUACCUAAUCAGAAAGCCACGGCUAACUACGUG